RNAcentral lists this ribosomal RNA (109 nucleotides) under Sander lucioperca (pikeperch). The record is from RNAcentral. Lineage: Eukaryota; Metazoa; Chordata; Actinopteri; Perciformes; Percidae.
UCUUACGGCCAUACCACCCUGAACACGUCUGAUCUCGGAAGCUAAGCAGCGUUGGGCUGGGUCAGUACUUGGAUGGGAGACUGCCUGGGAAUACCCGGUGCUGUAAGAG